Molecule: non-coding RNA, 1062 nt
Organism: Lactuca sativa (garden lettuce)
Lineage: Eukaryota; Viridiplantae; Streptophyta; Magnoliopsida; Asterales; Asteraceae
Source: RefSeq, a predicted model, not a curated record
GAGGUUAGGGAUUAGGUAAUAAAAAGAGGGAGAGUCAGAUGUUGCGGCGAAUCCAUCUGGUUAACUGAAAGGUCGUCGUUCCGACCUCUACCUCCACCUCCACCCCCAAUCCCAAACACAUUCUCCGCUGAUGCAUUCUGUUGUUACUUGGUAUGAUUGGUAUUAAACAUACACAAACAGGAGAAGGAGAAGGGGUGCAUCAUGUAUGUGUAUGAUCUUAACGACCUUGCAAUUAACCAGAUGAAUUAGCCUCUACAUGUAUACAAACAAUAAAGACAUUGGUUGGAUUUCACUAGCAAUCCACUGAAUAAUUAUAUGAGUAAGUGCCUCUAUUUGUGUAAGACUCUAAAAAGAUGAAUGAUUGUUUUCUUUAUCUAUUUGGUCAUAUGCAGUAAGCAACCAAAGGAAUGUGGCAUCAAGGUGCAAUAAUGUGUCUUCAGGUUCUUUAAUACAAUUCGAAGAAAAUUAAAUUGAUGUCUUUUAGUUAUGUAGUUCAAAUUGUUGCAUCUUUAUAUACCUGUUGUUGGAGGGUGGAUACAUACUCCAUCAUCAACUGUGUCUGCAUCAAUCAUUAACCAUAAUCACUCUCAAUAUAUCAAUAUCAUAAUAAGAUCCUACUAAUCAGUGAUUAAUGCAAAACAUGAUGAAAAUAAUUCAAAAACAAAAAUAGAUAGGUAUCUUUUGAACAAGUAGCAACAAAUGAAAAAGGAUCACCUUUCUUGACCUUGUUUGCAUAAGAGCAGUAUCAAGUUCUUCUUCAAGUUGUGUCAUCUCAACCACAGAGAGCUCCUCAUUAUUACUAUUAUUCUCUUCAACAAGCCUGUGCAAAGAGUUGGGUAUCAUUAAAAUCAUUAUCUUCUAACUUACCAUUGUGUGUGUGUGUGUGUGUUGUAUGUUUACGUAUUACCUGUCCACCAUUUGUAGAAGCUCUUUACAUGUUUUGAAUUUUGUGCACUUCAAUGGAAGUUCCUGUAAUACAUCUCAAUUAUUAACUCAUAUUUAUACAAAAUAUGUAUAUAUUGUGAAAACAAGGAAUUAAGAAGUUGCACGAGGCUUACUGAA